Molecule: long non-coding RNA, 931 nt
Organism: Onychostoma macrolepis
Lineage: Eukaryota; Metazoa; Chordata; Actinopteri; Cypriniformes; Cyprinidae
Exons: 3
Source: RefSeq, a predicted model, not a curated record
UAUAUAUUAAACAUGAAUGUUUAUUAGGUGGCACAGCCUUGGGAUAUUGUGGGGAUGAAUUUAGUGGGAAAGCUCACACCAACGAAAGAAGGCUACCAGUACAUCUGUGUUUUUUGUUUGUUGUUGUUUUUCGCGGUCAUUUAGCACUUUAGUAAUUAGGUGUACAGAAGGCGAAUAUUUUUCAGAAUGUACUGAAAAUCUAUUAUAAUCCACUGUGCACAGCAAAUAGGGUAAGAAACCUGAGAAACAGUAAUUAAAGUAAUGCUGUUUGCUAGCUUUGACUAGUAUGCUCUCUGAUCAUCCAAUCAAAGGAUAAGACAAUGCUGAUGUUAUGGUAAGCCUGCUAGAUGGCCCUGGUGCUGCCAACUCAAAAUCUGAUUGGUUAAAGUAACGGUUUCAUUGCCAUCGAUUUAAGCUAACAGAUGCUUGCACCGUUGAUUCUGGAGGCCUUAGGAAGAUUUAUUUCACCCUGGCAACACGAUUGCUGAAAUAUGAUUGGAUAAAAGCUCUAAUAUAAACAUACACAACUGGAAGCAGCGCAACCAAGAGAAAAGAGGGGGCAAUUGAGGCGAAUGUCAUUGGCCCUGCCAUGCAGACAACUGGCACAGAAGAUGUGGUAGCAGUCCAGAAGACAUGGUUGGUGGUAUUGCUCAUGACACAGGAGCCUGAUGCCAAGCAGCUGACUGUGGUGGAGGGGAGAGGAGCUGGAUACAAAGGGAGAAUGAGGGGGUUGCCAAAGGUAAAGCUGAAGAAACCAGAUCCUGUGCACUCUGGAGGGCAGCAAAAAUAAUUCUUUAUGCAAUGGGAUAACAAUGGUCUCUUCAGUUAUUGUUAUUAGUAUGUUAAUAUUUUCAAGUAGGUUAAGAUUUUUCUGUAUAUUUCAUGUUCUGCAUAUACUGCUACUAUGCAAAACUUUACAGUAACAGACAAA